This 421-nucleotide ribosomal RNA is filed under the name uncultured bacterium. Its description in RNAcentral is "partial 16S ribosomal RNA". It matches the Rfam family "Bacterial small subunit ribosomal RNA", at positions 360 to 773 of the family's 1533-position model. The record is from RNAcentral.
AAUAUUGGACAAUGGGGGCAACCCUGAUCCAGCCAUGCCGCGUGUGUGAAGAAGGUCUUCGGAUUGUAAAGCCUUUUAAGUUGGGAGGAAGGGUUUUAGGUUAAUACUGUGAAGUUUUGACGUUAACAACAGAAUAAGCCCAGGCUAACUCUGUGCCAGAAGCCGCGGUAAUACAGAGGGUGCAAGCGUUAAUCGGAAUUACUGGGCGUAAAGCGCGCGUAGGUGGUUCAGUAAGAUGGGUGUGAAAUCCCCGGGCUUAACCUGGGAACUGCUUUCAUAACUGCUGAGCUAGAGUACGGUAGAGGGUAGUGGAAUUUCCUGUGUAGCGGUGAAAUGCGUAGAUAUAGGAAGGAACACCAGUGGCGAGGGCGACUACCUGGACUGAUACUGACACUGAGGUGCGAAAGCGUGGGGAGCAAAC